Molecule: unclassified non-coding RNA, 217 nt
Filed under: plant metagenome
Description: partial contains small subunit ribosomal RNA, internal transcribed spacer 1, and 5.8S ribosomal RNA
Source: RNAcentral
UCUCCGUAGGUGAACCUGCGGAGGGAUCACUACAAGUGACCCCGGUCUUACCACCGGGAUGUUCAUAACCCUUUGUUGUCCGACUCUGUUGCCUCCGGGGCGACCCUGCCUUCGGGCGGGGGCUCCGGGUGGACACUUCAAACUCUUGCGUAACUUUGCAGUCUGAGUAAACUUAAUUAAUAAAUUAAAACUUUUAACAACGGAUCUCUUGGUUCUG